UACAGGGGGGGCAAGCGUUGUUCGGAAUUACUGGGCGUAAAGGGCUCGUAGGCGGCCAACUAAGUCACACGUGAAAUCCCCAGGCUUAACCUGGGAACUGCGUGUGAUACUGGAUGGCUUGAAUCCGGGAGAGGGAUGCGGAAUUCCAGGUGUAGCGGUGAAAUGCGUAGAUAUCGGGAGGAACACCUGUGGCGAAAGCGGCGCACUGGACCACAACUGACGCUGAGGCGCGAAAGCUAGGGGAGCAAACAGG
This 253-nucleotide ribosomal RNA is filed under the name uncultured prokaryote. Its description in RNAcentral is "partial 16S ribosomal RNA". It matches the Rfam family "Bacterial small subunit ribosomal RNA", at positions 524 to 776 of the family's 1533-position model. The record is from RNAcentral.